GCGAACGUUAGCGGCGGGCCUAACACAUGCAAGUCGAGCGGUAACAUUUCUAGCUUGCUAGAAGAUGACGAGCGGCGGACGGGUGAGUAACGCGUAGAAAUCUACCUAGUAGUGGGGGAUAGCCCAGAGAAAUUUGGAUUAAUACCGCAUACGCCCUACGGGGGAAAGCGGGGGAUCUUCGGACCUCGUGCUACUAGAUGAGUCUGCGUCGGAUUAGCUUGUUGGUGAGGUAAUGGCUCACCAAGGCGACGAUCCGUAGCUGGUCUGAGAGGAUGACCAGCCACACUGGAACUGAGACACGGUCCAGACUCCUACGGGAGGCAGCAGUGGGGAAUAUUGCACAAUGGGCGCAAGCCUGAUGCAGCCAUGCCGCGUGUGUGAAGAAGGCCUUAGGGUUGUAAAGCACUUCAGCAGUGAGGAAAGGGGUGUCGUUAAUAGCGCCAUCCUGUGACGUUAACUGCAGAAGAAGGACCGGCUAACUCCGUG
RNAcentral lists this ribosomal RNA (486 nucleotides) under uncultured bacterium. RNAcentral describes it as "bacterial SSU rRNA". It matches the Rfam family "Bacterial small subunit ribosomal RNA", at positions 29 to 507 of the family's 1533-position model. The record is from RNAcentral.